This 2900-nucleotide ribosomal RNA is filed under the name Klebsiella pneumoniae. Its description in RNAcentral is "23S ribosomal RNA". It matches the Rfam family "Bacterial large subunit ribosomal RNA". Lineage: Bacteria; Pseudomonadati; Pseudomonadota; Gammaproteobacteria; Enterobacterales; Enterobacteriaceae. The record is from RNAcentral.
UUAAGCGACUAAGCGUACACGGUGGAUGCCCUGGCAGUCAGAGGCGAUGAAGGACGUGCUAAUCUGCGAAAAGCGUCGGUAAGGUGAUAUGAACCGUUAUAACCGGCGAUGUCCGAAUGGGGAAACCCAGUGUGAUUCGUCACACUAUCGUUAACUGAAUACAUAGGUUAACGAGGCGAACCGGGGGAACUGAAACAUCUAAGUACCCCGAGGAAAAGAAAUCAACCGAGAUUCCCCCAGUAGCGGCGAGCGAACGGGGAGCAGCCCAGAGUCUGAAUCAGCUUGUGUGUUAGUGGAACGGUCUGGAAAGUCCGACGGUACAGGGUGAUAGUCCCGUACACCAAAAUGCACAGGCUGUGAACUCGAAGAGUAGGGCGGGACACGUGGUAUCCUGUCUGAAUAUGGGGGGACCAUCCUCCAAGGCUAAAUACUCCUGACUGACCGAUAGUGAACCAGUACCGUGAGGGAAAGGCGAAAAGAACCCCGGCGAGGGGAGUGAAAAAGAACCUGAAACCGUGUACGUACAAGCAGUGGGAGCACCUUCGGGUGUGACUGCGUACCUUUUGUAUAAUGGGUCAGCGACUUAUAUUCUGUAGCAAGGUUAACCGUAUAGGGGAGCCGCAGGGAAACCGAGUCUUAACUGGGCGUUAAGUUGCAGGGUAUAGACCCGAAACCCGGUGAUCUAGCCAUGGGCAGGUUGAAGGUUGGGUAACACUAACUGGAGGACCGAACCGACUAAUGUUGAAAAAUUAGCGGAUGACUUGUGGCUGGGGGUGAAAGGCCAAUCAAACCGGGAGAUAGCUGGUUCUCCCCGAAAGCUAUUUAGGUAGCGCCUCGUGAACUCAUCUUCGGGGGUAGAGCACUGUUUCGGCUAGGGGGUCAUCCCGACUUACCAACCCGAUGCAAACUACGAAUACCGAAGAAUGUUAUCACGGGAGACACACGGCGGGUGCUAACGUCCGUCGUGAAGAGGGAAACAACCCAGACCGCCAGCUAAGGUCCCAAAGUCAUGGUUAAGUGGGAAACGAUGUGGGAAGGCACAGACAGCCAGGAUGUUGGCUUAGAAGCAGCCAUCAUUUAAAGAAAGCGUAAUAGCUCACUGGUCGAGUCGGCCUGCGCGGAAGAUGUAACGGGGCUAAACCAUGCACCGAAGCUGCGGCAGCGACACUAUGUGUUGUUGGGUAGGGGAGCGUUCUGUAAGCCUGCGAAGGUGUGCUGUGAGGCAUGCUGGAGGUAUCAGAAGUGCGAAUGCUGACAUAAGUAACGAUAAAGCGGGUGAAAAGCCCGCUCGCCGGAAGACCAAGGGUUCCUGUCCAACGUUAAUCGGGGCAGGGUGAGUCGACCCCUAAGGCGAGGCCGAAAGGCGUAGUCGAUGGGAAACAGGUUAAUAUUCCUGUACUUGGUGUUACUGCGAAGGGGGGACGGAGAAGGCUAUGUUAGCCGGGCGACGGUUGUCCCGGUUUAAGCAUGUAGGCUGGUUAUCCAGGCAAAUCCGGAUAAUCAAGGCUGAGGUGUGAUGACGAGGCACUACGGUGCUGAAGUAACAAAUGCCCUGCUUCCAGGAAAAGCCUCUAAGCAUCAGGUAACAUCAAAUCGUACCCCAAACCGACACAGGUGGUCAGGUAGAGAAUACCAAGGCGCUUGAGAGAACUCGGGUGAAGGAACUAGGCAAAAUGGUGCCGUAACUUCGGGAGAAGGCACGCUGGUGUGUAGGUGAAGUCCCUGCGGAUGGAGCUGAGACCAGUCGAAGAUACCAGCUGGCUGCAACUGUUUAUUAAAAACACAGCACUGUGCAAACACGAAAGUGGACGUAUACGGUGUGACGCCUGCCCGGUGCCGGAAGGUUAAUUGAUGGGGUUAUCCGUAAGGAGAAGCUCUUGAUCGAAGCCCCGGUAAACGGCGGCCGUAACUAUAACGGUCCUAAGGUAGCGAAAUUCCUUGUCGGGUAAGUUCCGACCUGCACGAAUGGCGUAAUGAUGGCCAGGCUGUCUCCACCCGAGACUCAGUGAAAUUGAACUCGCUGUGAAGAUGCAGUGUACCCGCGGCAAGACGGAAAGACCCCGUGAACCUUUACUAUAGCUUGACACUGAACAUUGAGCCUUGAUGUGUAGGAUAGGUGGGAGGCUUUGAAGCGUGGACGCCAGUCUGCGUGGAGCCAACCUUGAAAUACCACCCUUUAAUGUUUGAUGUUCUAACGUUGGCCCCUUACCGGGGUUGCGGACAGUGUCUGGUGGGUAGUUUGACUGGGGCGGUCUCCUCCCAAAGCGUAACGGAGGAGCACGAAGGUUAGCUAAUCCUGGUCGGACAUCAGGAGGUUAGUGCAAUGGCAUAAGCUAGCUUGACUGCGAGCGUGACGGCGCGAGCAGGUGCGAAAGCAGGUCAUAGUGAUCCGGUGGUUCUGAAUGGAAGGGCCAUCGCUCAACGGAUAAAAGGUACUCCGGGGAUAACAGGCUGAUACCGCCCAAGAGUUCAUAUCGACGGCGGUGUUUGGCACCUCGAUGUCGGCUCAUCACAUCCUGGGGCUGAAGUAGGUCCCAAGGGUAUGGCUGUUCGCCAUUUAAAGUGGUACGCGAGCUGGGUUUAGAACGUCGUGAGACAGUUCGGUCCCUAUCUGCCGUGGGCGCUGGAGAAUUGAGGGGGGCUGCUCCUAGUACGAGAGGACCGGAGUGGACGCAUCACUGGUGUUCGGGUUGUCAUGCCAAUGGCACUGCCCGGUAGCUAAAUGCGGAAGAGAUAAGUGCUGAAAGCAUCUAAGCACGAAACUUGCCCCGAGAUGAGUUCUCCCUGAGACUUUAAGUCUCCUGAAGGAACGUUGAAGACGACGACGUUGAUAGGCCGGGUGUGUAAGCGCAGCGAUGCGUUGAGCUAACCGGUACUAAUGAACCGUGAGGCUUAACCUU